AGAAAGCCGUAGCAAACCACCAC
This 23-nucleotide non-coding RNA is filed under the name Arabidopsis thaliana (thale cress). The record is from RNAcentral. Lineage: Eukaryota; Viridiplantae; Streptophyta; Magnoliopsida; Brassicales; Brassicaceae.